RNAcentral lists this ribosomal RNA (254 nucleotides) under uncultured bacterium. RNAcentral describes it as "partial 16S ribosomal RNA". It matches the Rfam family "Bacterial small subunit ribosomal RNA", at positions 524 to 776 of the family's 1533-position model. The record is from RNAcentral.
GACAGAGGGUGCAAACGUUGUUCGGAUUUACUGGGCGUAAAGCGUGUGUAGGCGGCUUUGUAUGUCGGAUGUGAAAGCCCACGGCUCAACCGUGGAAGUGCAUCCGAAACUGCAUAGCUUGAGUCCCGGAGAGGAAGGUGGAAUGCUUGGUGUAGAGGUGAAAAUUCGUAGAUAUCAAGCAGAACACCUGCGGCGAAGGCGGCCUUCUGGACGACGAUUGACGCUGAGACGCGAAAGCGUGGGUAGCAAACAGG